GCAGAUUAUGCUUAGAAAUGUUCUGCAACAUUCAUAGUAUUUGUAGAUCUUGUUGAAACGUAAAACUCAUACUUUGCUUAAAAGCUUACACAAUUAAUGUUUGCCUGUCAUGAAGCUAAGUAUUCAGAGCUUCUCAUUCUUGAUGGUUUGAUGAUUCAGCACUUCUUACUGCAGAUUAACAGUUACUUUAUUUAAAAUAUGACUCCUAAGUGAAGGUAUUCUCAAACUCGACUAUAGCUAAAACCUGAAAUUUAUUAUUAGUACAGGGUAUACACUUGAAUCUGUUAGUUCUAUUGGAUUUUUAAAACUUGUUUAACUGUUAUCAGAGCUUAUUUGAAACUAGGUAAUUUUUAACAUUUAUGUUUCCCAUAUUUAAGCAAAUUGCUGCGGUGAUGGUCAUGUAGUUGAAUGAUUUCCUGUUACAGCUGAAAUCUAAGGCAAAACUGUUGCAGAUAAAAACAUUUGGAAGACAAGUAGCAAGUAGUGCAUAGAGCAUAGUUUAUUAUAUACAAAUGAAAGAAUGGACUUAUCUUCACACAAACAAAGCUCGCGAAGUACGUAUGUACCUACGUGCUGUGGACUAACUGGAUAUGACCUUAUGGGUAUUUUCUAGAACUCGUCCCCGAUCACCUAUGAUCAGGUAGCCAGCCCUACCCGGAAAAACGGCUGGAAUGGUUACACCCAGAAAACCCGGAGCCAUUUUAUAAAAUGGCAGCUGAAAGGGCGCCACGUAGAUCAUGUAACGUACAACGUUCUACCCAUUUUCCACGCCACGUCGUUUGCAAUUGUGUCUCGUCCAAUCCGUUGAGGCCAGCCAUUUGGGAAGUGAAGUUCUUCGUCUACAAAAAACACUGUUGAUCAUGCAUUCUUGAGAGCACUUGGAAGGAUUUCUAAUUCUCAAUGGCUGCCAGCAAUUUGUUAGGCUAAUAAGUAUCAGCAUUUAUGGUUCAAUGGACAUUUACAGGGAAAGCUUUAUUGUAGAAGAAUUUAAACCAUUCAGUCAAAGGAAAUCCCCUGUUAAUAAAGCCAUGGAGUUUCAUGAUUACAUAGGUGAAAAACAAAUAUGCUGGUUUUAUUUAUGUAUAUUAGAAGCUGAAACUAAAUGCAACUUACCGUAGGUGUAACAAACCAUGCUUGUUGCAUGUUUGUUUGUAUGAUUUGCCAUAAUUAACCUUCUCUGGUGGUUUAAUGUUUGGUUUUCCCAACUAAUGUGGUGUUGGAACCAGGGAGUUUUGUUUCAGUCAUUAUGGUUUAGAUUGAGAAUGUUUACUGUUUCUAAAUAAAUCUACCGUUAAAAUCA
RNAcentral lists this long non-coding RNA (1300 nucleotides) under Daphnia magna. RNAcentral's name for it is "uncharacterized LOC116921345, transcript variant X4". The record is from RNAcentral. Lineage: Eukaryota; Metazoa; Arthropoda; Branchiopoda; Diplostraca; Daphniidae.